Molecule: long non-coding RNA, 309 nt
Filed under: Ananas comosus (pineapple)
Lineage: Eukaryota; Viridiplantae; Streptophyta; Magnoliopsida; Poales; Bromeliaceae
Description: long non-coding RNA (ACOM_LNC044206)
Source: RNAcentral
GUGGUACCUCGAAGUGGUCUAGCUUAGGGGUUAGAGAUGAAAGAACAAACUUGUAAUAAUUUGUAAUAGAUGAUUGUAUUUGAAAGUUAAAUAUGAAAGAAAAUAUAAUAUGUAAAAUCUGGGACGAAUGCUUGUAAUAGUAUAGCUACAUUUAUGUUUUUGAUACUUCCUUAUGCAAUCCUUGCUUGAUUACUGUCUCUCGUUGGGACCUCGUGCUUUGUAUGGAUUGUGACACUUAAGACGUACAGGGGAGACUCUGCCCGUUCGGCGGUCUGUCGGCGUGCCCGAAUAUGAUGAAAUAGGUGGAUG